UACGUAGGGGGCAAGCGUUGUUCGGAAUUACUGGGCGUAAAGGGCGCGUAGGCGGCAUGGCAAGUCAGGAGUGAAAGGCCUGGGCUCAACCGAGGAACUGCUUUUGAGACUGCCAAGCUAGAGUGCGGAAGGGGCAACUGGAAUUCCCAGUGUAGCGGUGAAAUGCGUAGAUAUUGGGAAGAACACCGGAGGCGAAGGCGGGUUGCUGGGCCGACACUGACGCUGAUGCGCGACAGCGUGGGGAGCAAACAGG
RNAcentral lists this ribosomal RNA (253 nucleotides) under uncultured bacterium. RNAcentral's name for it is "partial 16S ribosomal RNA". It matches the Rfam family "Bacterial small subunit ribosomal RNA", at positions 524 to 776 of the family's 1533-position model. The record is from RNAcentral.